Folsomia candida is the source of this 73-nucleotide transfer RNA. It matches the Rfam family "tRNA". Rfam says of the family: Transfer RNA (tRNA) molecules are approximately 80 nucleotides in length. Their secondary structure includes four short double-helical elements and three loops (D, anti-codon, and T loops). Lineage: Eukaryota; Metazoa; Arthropoda; Collembola; Entomobryomorpha; Isotomidae. The record is from Rfam.
GCUCAAAUGGUGUAGUGGCUAUCACAUCUGCCUCACACGCAGAGGGUCCCAGGUUCGAACCCUGGUUUGAGCA